AGUGAAGGAAAGUGAAGUUUUGAGUGGGGAAAAAUCUGCCCUAAUCAAGGUACUGGAGACCCCGAUCGUGAGCCCAGUAGACCACAGACUGGGUGAGGCCAUCCGACAGUUCUGCUCAGUGUCCGUGUCACCUCACUACCUGCAGUGCAUCGGUAGGGCACUAGAUGCCAUUUUGUCAUCUUGUAAUUAACUUUUUAUUUUCUCAUAUGUAUUUAGGAUUUAUGUAAUGUAUUUUGAGGUUCAUGUAAAUAAUAAAGAUUUAUGGUUAUGUAUGGUAUUAAUUUGAGUAUUUAAUGGUUGUUUAUAUAUGAGAACCCUGAGAAAGGGAUGUUUUGAAAACUGAAAAGGUUGUUGAGACCUGAAAUUGACAAA
Molecule: long non-coding RNA, 372 nt
Organism: Hevea brasiliensis (rubber tree)
Lineage: Eukaryota; Viridiplantae; Streptophyta; Magnoliopsida; Malpighiales; Euphorbiaceae
Exons: 2
Source: RefSeq, a predicted model, not a curated record